Bacillus thuringiensis serovar israelensis ATCC 35646 is the source of this 72-nucleotide non-coding RNA. The record is from Rfam. Lineage: Bacteria; Bacillati; Bacillota; Bacilli; Caryophanales; Bacillaceae.
GCGCUUUUGGUCUAAUGGCUAUGAUUUCUGACUUCCAAUCAGACGGUACGAGUUCGAUUCUCGUAAGGCGCU